Molecule: long non-coding RNA, 192 nt
Organism: Cotesia glomerata
Lineage: Eukaryota; Metazoa; Arthropoda; Insecta; Hymenoptera; Braconidae
Exons: 2
Source: RefSeq, a predicted model, not a curated record
AUGGUUCAAUUGAAGGAAGUUAAUGAAAUAAUUAUGACAGACAAAGUUCAACUCAAGUGACCUAACGGUCUUUACAGAGAGUUUUUUACAUUCAAAACAACAAAAUUGUGAAGCGCGUAACUAGUCAGCUGAUUAACAGCUGAUUGUCUCUGUUUACGUGCGAUUCACACGAAUUUGAAUCAAGAUAUCAGG